GAGUUUGAUCCUGGCUCAGAGCGAACGUUUGCGGCGGGCUUAACACAUGCAAGUCGUACGAGAACCUUCCCUUCGGGGAAGGGGAAAGUGGCGCACGGGUGCGUAACACGUGGGUAACCAACCCCCUAGACUGGGACAACCCGGGGAAACUCGGGCUAAUACCGGAUGUGGCGUCGGGGACUUCGGUCCCUGUCGUGAAAGGAGCAAUCUGCUAGGGGACGGGCUCGCGGCCCAUCAGCUUGUUGGUGAGGUAAUGGCUCACCAAGGCUAAGACGGGUAGCUGGUCUGAGAGGAUGAUCAGCCACACUGGAACUGAGACACGGUCCAGACUCCUACGGGAGGCAGCAGUGGGGAAUAUUGCGCAAUGGGCGAAAGCCUGACGCAGCCACGCCGCGUGAGCGAUGAAGGUCCUCGGAUCGUAAAGCUCUGUGGGGGGAGAAGAAAACUGACGGUAUCCCCUUAGCAAGCACCGGCUAACUCCGUGCCAGCAGCCGCGGUAAUACGGAGGGUGCAAACGUUGCUCGGAAUCAUUGGGCGUAAAGCGCGCGUAGGCGGCCAAGCAAGUUGGAUGUGAAAGC
This 578-nucleotide ribosomal RNA is filed under the name uncultured Nannocystaceae bacterium. Its description in RNAcentral is "bacterial SSU rRNA". It matches the Rfam family "Bacterial small subunit ribosomal RNA", at positions 9 to 601 of the family's 1533-position model. Lineage: Bacteria; Pseudomonadati; Myxococcota; Nannocystales; Nannocystaceae. The record is from RNAcentral.